UACGAAGGGGGCUAGCGUUGUUCGGAUUUACUGGGCGUAAAGCGCACGUAGGCGGAUCGUUAAGUCGGGGGUGAAAUCCUGGAGCUCAACUCCAGAACUGCCUUCGAUACUGGCGAUCUUGAGUCCGGAAGAGGUGAGUGGAACUCCUAGUGUAGAGGUGGAAUUCGUAGAUAUUAGGAAGAACACCAGUGGCGAAGGCGGCUCACUGGUCCGGUACCGACGCUGAGGUGCGAAAGCGUGGGGAGCAAACAGG
This 253-nucleotide ribosomal RNA is filed under the name uncultured bacterium. RNAcentral's name for it is "partial 16S ribosomal RNA". It matches the Rfam family "Bacterial small subunit ribosomal RNA", at positions 524 to 776 of the family's 1533-position model. The record is from RNAcentral.